UAGCAAUACCGCUGACGAGUGGCGCACGGGUGAGUAACACGUACACAAUCUGCCUUAUACUGGGGCAUAGCCUUGGGAAACUAAGAUUAAUUCCCCAUAACAUUGCGAAAUGGCAUCAUUUUGCAAUUAAAACUACGGUGGUAUGAGAUGAGUGUGCGUCUGAUUAGCUAGUUGGCGAGGUAACGGCUCACCAAGGCAACGAUCAGUAACUGGUCUGAGAGGAUGAUCAGUCACACGGGCACUGAGACACGGGCCCGACUCCUACGGGAGGCAGCAGUAGGGAAUAUUGGACAAUGGGCGAAAGCCUGAUCCAGCCAUCCCGCGUGAAGGAUUAAGGUCCUAUGGAUUGUAAACUUCUUUUCUCUGGGAAUAAAAAGUGGGAUUUAUCCUGCCUUGAAGGUACCAGAGGAAUAAGCACCGGCUAACUCCGUGCCAGCAGCCGCGGUAAUACGGAGGGUGCAAGCGUUAUCCGGAUUCACUGGGUUUAAAGGGUGCGUAGGUGGCUUGGUAAGUCAGUGGUGAAAGCCCGGAGCUCAACUCCGGAACUGCCAUUGAUACUGCUUAGCUUGAAUCAGGUCGAGGUGGAUGGAAUAUUACAUGUAGCGGUGAAAUGCUUAGAUAUGUAAUAGAACACCGAUUGCGAAGGCAGUUCACUAGGCCUGUAUUGACACUGAGGCACGAAAGCGUGGGGAUCAAACAGGAUUAGAUACCCUGGUAGUCCACGCCCUAAACGAUGUAAACUCGACGUUAGCGAUAUACAGUUAGCGUCCAAGCGAAAGCGUUAAGUUUACCACCUGGGAAGUACGACCGCAAGGUUGAAACUC
Molecule: ribosomal RNA, 824 nt
Filed under: uncultured Bacteroidota bacterium
Lineage: Bacteria; Pseudomonadati; Bacteroidota
Description: bacterial SSU rRNA
Rfam family: Bacterial small subunit ribosomal RNA
Source: RNAcentral